UAAGGGAUAUUGGUCAAUGGGCGGGAGCCUGAACCAGCCAUGCCGCGUGAGGGAAUGAGGCCCUACGGGUCGUAAACCUCUUUUGCCGGGGGAUAACGGGCGCCACGCGUGGCGCCGUGAAGGUACCCGGAGAAUAAGCAUCGGCUAACUCCGUGCCAGCAGCCGCGGUAAUACGGAGGAUGCGAGCGUUAUCCGGAUUCAUUGGGUUUAAAGGGUGCGUAGGUGGCCAUUUAAGUCAGCGGUGAAAGUUUGUGGCUCAACCAUAAAAUUGCCGUUGAAACUGGAGGGCUUGAGUAUGUUUGGGGCAGGCGGAAUGUGUGGUGUAGCGGUGAAAUGCAUAGAUAUCACGCAGAACUCCGAUCGCGAAGGCAGCUUGCCAAGCCAUAACUGACACUGAA
This 398-nucleotide ribosomal RNA is filed under the name uncultured Parabacteroides sp. Its description in RNAcentral is "bacterial SSU rRNA". It matches the Rfam family "Bacterial small subunit ribosomal RNA", at positions 355 to 750 of the family's 1533-position model. Lineage: Bacteria; Pseudomonadati; Bacteroidota; Bacteroidia; Bacteroidales; Tannerellaceae. The record is from RNAcentral.